This 131-nucleotide small nucleolar RNA is filed under the name Propithecus coquereli (Coquerel's sifaka). RNAcentral describes it as "Small nucleolar RNA SNORA3/SNORA45 family (ENSPCOG00000005697.1)". It matches the Rfam family "Small nucleolar RNA SNORA3/SNORA45 family". From Rfam's summary of the family: The members of this family belong to the H/ACA class of snoRNAs which are thought to guide the sites of modification of uridines to pseudouridines. Lineage: Eukaryota; Metazoa; Chordata; Mammalia; Primates; Indriidae. The record is from Rfam by way of RNAcentral.
GCCGAGACUAGAGUCACAUCUCGACACCACUCUUGUCCUGGUGUGCUAGAGUACUCGCAGAGAAUCUGCUGGUCUCGAUUCACUGGCGGGGGCAGUCAGUGCCCCCGUUAGUGCCCAGAUCAGUAACAUAC